This 902-nucleotide ribosomal RNA is filed under the name Septoria hibiscicola. RNAcentral's name for it is "LSU rRNA". It matches the Rfam family "Eukaryotic large subunit ribosomal RNA", at positions 34 to 965 of the family's 3401-position model. The record is from RNAcentral. Lineage: Eukaryota; Fungi; Ascomycota; Dothideomycetes; Mycosphaerellales; Mycosphaerellaceae.
UUAAGCAUAUCAAUAAGCGGAGGAAAAGAAACCAACAGGGAUUGCCCUAGUAACGGCGAGUGAAGCGGCAACAGCUCAAAUUUGAAAUCUGGCGCAAGCCCGAGUUGUAAUUUGUAGAGGAUGCUUCUGGGUAGCGACCGAUCUAAGUUCCUUGGAACAGGACGUCAUAGAGGGUGAGAAUCCCGUAUGUGACCGGCCCGCACCCUUUACGUAGCUCCUUCGACGAGUCGAGUUGUUUGGGAAUGCAGCUCUAAAUGGGAGGUAAAUUUCUUCUAAAGCUAAAUACCGGCCAGAGACCGAUAGCGCACAAGUAGAGUGAUCGAAAGAUGAAAAGUACUUUGGAAAGAGAGUUAAAAAGCACGUGAAAUUGUUGAAAGGGAAGCGCCUGCAACCAGACUUCGCGGCAGUGUUCCGCCGGUCUUCUGACCGGUUCAUUCUCUGUCGCGAGGCCAUCAUCGUCUAGGCCCGCCGGAUAAGACCUUGGGAAUGUAGCUCACCUUCGGGGGAGUGUUAUAGCCCAUGGUGAUGCGGCGAGGCUUGGGCGAGGUCCGCGCUUCGGCAAGGAUGAUGGCGUAAUGGUUGUCGGCGGCCCGUCUUGAAACACGGACCAAGGAGUCUAACAUCUAUGCGAGUGUUCGGGUGUCAAACCCCUACGCGUAAUGAAAGUGAACGGAGGUGGGAACCGCAAGGUGCACCAUCGACCGAUCCUGAUGUCCUCGGAUGGAUUUGAGUAAGAGCAUAGCUGUUGGGACCCGAAAGAUGGUGAACUAUGCCUGAAUAGGGUGAAGCCAGAGGAAACUCUGGUGGAGGCUCGCAGCGGUUCUGACGUGCAAAUCGAUCGUCAAAUUUGGGUAUAGGGGCGAAAGACUAAUCGAACCAUCUAGUAGCUGGUUCCUGCCGAA